This 419-nucleotide ribosomal RNA is filed under the name Doriprismatica tibboeli. RNAcentral describes it as "partial 16S ribosomal RNA". It matches the Rfam family "Archaeal large subunit ribosomal RNA", at positions 2003 to 2680 of the family's 2987-position model. The record is from RNAcentral. Lineage: Eukaryota; Metazoa; Mollusca; Gastropoda; Nudibranchia; Chromodorididae.
AAUGGCCGCGGUACCUUGACCGUGCUAAGGUAGCGCAAUCAGUUGGCUCUUAAUUGGGGUCAGGAAUGAAUGGAGUUACGGAGUUUUACUGUCUCUUAGUUAAUUAUUCUAAAUUACUAUCUAGGUGAAAAAGCCUAAUAAUAGAAAGGGGACGAGAAGACCCUUAGAGUUUGACCUAUAUAAAUUUUAGAAAUUGUGUUUAUAAUGGUUUAGUUGGGGCAACGUAGGAGCAAUAAGGAAAGAGUAAAAUCUCCUAAAUUUUAUUAACCGAUAUUUUUAAAUUUGAAUAAACUACCUUAGGGAUAACAGCAUAAUUUAAUAAAUAAGUUUGUGACCUCGAUGUUGGACUAGGAAACUUAAAGGCUAGCCGUCUUUAAGGAAAGUUCUGUUCGAACUAUUAUUCCUACAUGAUCUGAGUU